GAGGGUAUAGCUCAAAUGGUAGAGCACAUGCUUAGCAUGCAGGAAGUCCUGGACUCAAUCCCCAGUACCUCCA
RNAcentral lists this transfer RNA (73 nucleotides) under Camelus bactrianus (Bactrian camel). It matches the Rfam family "tRNA". Rfam says of the family: Transfer RNA (tRNA) molecules are approximately 80 nucleotides in length. Their secondary structure includes four short double-helical elements and three loops (D, anti-codon, and T loops). Lineage: Eukaryota; Metazoa; Chordata; Mammalia; Artiodactyla; Camelidae. RNAcentral also lists the same sequence under 1 other name. The record is from Rfam by way of RNAcentral.